GCUUGUCUCAAAGAUUAAGCCAUGCAUGUCUAAGUAUAAACAAAUUUAUAGUGAAACUGCGAAUGGCUCAUUAUAUCAGUUAUAGUUUAUUUGAUGGUCCUUGCUACUUGGAUAACCGUAGUAAUUCUAGAGCUAAUACAUGCCACAAUACCCAACUGCUUGUCGGGCGGGUAGCAUUUAUUAGAUUGAAACCAAUGCAGCUUCGGCUGGUAUUGUGUUGAGUCAUAAUAACUGUGCGGAUCGCAUUUUUGCGAUAAGUCGAUUGAGUUUCUGCCCUAUCAGCUUUGGAUGGUAGGAUAUGGGCCUACCAUGGCAUUAACGGGUAACGGGGAAUUAGGGUUUGAUUCCGGAGAGGGAGCCUUAGAAACGGCUACCACAUCCAAGGAAGGCAGCAGG
This 396-nucleotide ribosomal RNA is filed under the name Globisporangium viniferum. RNAcentral describes it as "Pythium viniferum partial small subunit ribosomal RNA". It matches the Rfam family "Eukaryotic small subunit ribosomal RNA", at positions 30 to 432 of the family's 1831-position model. The record is from RNAcentral. Lineage: Eukaryota; Oomycota; Peronosporomycetes; Pythiales; Pythiaceae.